Molecule: ribosomal RNA, 255 nt
Filed under: uncultured bacterium
Lineage: Bacteria
Description: partial 16S ribosomal RNA
Rfam family: Bacterial small subunit ribosomal RNA
Source: RNAcentral
UACGGGGGGGGGCAAGCGUUGUUCGGAAUUACUGGGCGUAAAGGGCUCGUAGGCGGCCAACUAAGUCGGAUGUGAAAUCCCCAGGCUUAACCUGGGAACUGCAUCCGAUACUGGAUGGCUUGAAUCCGGGAGAGGGAUGCAGAAUUCCAGGUGUAGCGGUGAAAUGCGUAGAUAUCUGGAGGAAUACCGGUGGCGAAGGCGGCAUCCUGGACCAACACUGACGCUGAAUCGCGAAAGCUAGGGGAGCAAACGGGG